AAGGGUAUAGCUCAGUGGUAGGGUGCGUGCCUAGCAUGCAUGAGGUCCUGGGUUCAAUCCCCAGUACCUCCU
Molecule: transfer RNA, 72 nt
Filed under: Camelus bactrianus (Bactrian camel)
Lineage: Eukaryota; Metazoa; Chordata; Mammalia; Artiodactyla; Camelidae
Also listed under: 3 other names
Rfam family: tRNA
About the family: Transfer RNA (tRNA) molecules are approximately 80 nucleotides in length. Their secondary structure includes four short double-helical elements and three loops (D, anti-codon, and T loops).
Source: Rfam by way of RNAcentral